Molecule: long non-coding RNA, 466 nt
Organism: Olea europaea var. sylvestris
Lineage: Eukaryota; Viridiplantae; Streptophyta; Magnoliopsida; Lamiales; Oleaceae
Exons: 3
Source: RefSeq, a predicted model, not a curated record
AGAUAAUCAUAAUGAAAAAGGAAACUGGUCCACUCUCUACCCCAUAAAAGGCACACAAUAUCCAUCACGUUUGUGCAACUUAAUUGAGGGUUAAGUGAGAGAAACCGUUUCCAGUGCCUUCAUUCUUCUCCAAAGAUUGUUCUCAUGGAUUCAAACUCAGAACCUGUGUCGCUACACUCGCUAGCUUCGUCUGUUUCGACGUUUGAUGGAACAAAUUUUUCAAAUUGGGAUUCCUCACAAUCCAGAUCUUAAGUCAAAAUGAAAACUUCAUUGUCUUGGGGAAUGGAGUCUAAGUUCCAGUUUCUGCCAUUGGAACCUAUCGUUUAUUUUUAGAUACCAAUCAUCAUUUAUAUUUAUUUCAGACACUUUAUGUUCCUUCUAUUUCUAUAAAUUUAAUUUCAAUUUCUAAACUUGAUGUUGAGGGACAUUUCUUUAAGCUUGGGAAUAAAAGAGUCAGUUUAUUUAA